AUGGCUCUGAAUAUUCCCACUAAUGAAGACUGGCUUUUGGUUGGAGACUUUAAUUUUAUCCGAAGCCCAGAGAAUCGCAACAAGCCUGGUGGCAAUUACGGCGAUAUGAUUACUUUUAAUGACUUCAUCCGAGCACAAGCCUUAAUUGAACUGCCCAUUAAAGGUCGUGAAUACACCUGGAGUAACAUGCAAACUGAUCCAUUACUCGAGCAAAUUGAUUGGUUUUUCACUAGUAAUAAUUGGACGAGCUCCUACCCCAACACUGUGGUUAAACCCCUCGGGCGACCUGUUUCAGAUCACAUCCCAUGUGUGAUUACUAUUGAAACUUCCAUUCCACGAUCAAAGUUAUUCAGGGCCCUCUUGGAAAUUGAUGGGUUGGAGAAUAAAAGACAGCUAUCCACACCGAAGCUAAUUUCAGGAAAAUACUAA
This 429-nucleotide ribosomal RNA is filed under the name Triticum aestivum (bread wheat). RNAcentral describes it as "partial small subunit ribosomal RNA". The record is from RNAcentral. Lineage: Eukaryota; Viridiplantae; Streptophyta; Magnoliopsida; Poales; Poaceae.